This 485-nucleotide ribosomal RNA is filed under the name uncultured bacterium. RNAcentral's name for it is "partial 16S ribosomal RNA". It matches the Rfam family "Bacterial small subunit ribosomal RNA", at positions 30 to 506 of the family's 1533-position model. The record is from RNAcentral.
AUUGAACGCUGGCGGCAUGCCUUACACAUGCAAGUCGAACGGCAGCACGGGUGCUUGCACCUGGUGGCGAGUGGCGAACGGGUGGGUAAUACAUCGGAACAUGUCCUGUAGUGGGGGAUAGCCCGGCGAAAGCCGGAUUAAUACCGCAUACGAUCUACGGAUGAAAGCGGGGGACCUUCGGGCCUCGCGCUAUAGGGUUGGCCGAUGGCUGAUUAGCUAGUUGGUGGGGUAAAGGCCUACCAAGGCGACGAUCAGUAGCUGGUCUGAGAGGACGACCAGCCACACUGGGACUGAGACACGGCCCAGACUCCUACGGGAGGCAGCAGUGGGGAAUUUUGGACAAUGGGCGAAAGCCUGAUCCAGCAAUGCCGCGUGUGUGAAGAAGGCCUUCGGGUUGUAAAGCACUUUUGUCCGGAAAGAAAUCCUUGGCCCUAAUACGGUCGGGGGAUGACGGUACCGGAAGAAUAAGCACCGGCUAACUACGU